Molecule: non-coding RNA, 145 nt
Organism: Cicer arietinum (chickpea)
Lineage: Eukaryota; Viridiplantae; Streptophyta; Magnoliopsida; Fabales; Fabaceae
Source: Rfam
GUUGCUUCUGUAAUGAUUAUAUUGCUGAGUGUCCUGUUUAUGAUUGGUCAUUCAUAUUUGGAAGCAUAUAAUUGUGUUAUUGCCAGUUUUUAACAGCAUGAUGUGUAUUUAUUUUACAUUGUGUUACCUGUCUGCUGGUAAAUUU